Molecule: ribosomal RNA, 600 nt
Filed under: uncultured beta proteobacterium
Lineage: Bacteria; Pseudomonadati; Pseudomonadota; Betaproteobacteria
Description: bacterial SSU rRNA
Rfam family: Bacterial small subunit ribosomal RNA
Source: RNAcentral
CAUGCAAGUCGAACGGCAGCACGGGUGCUUGCACCUGGUGGCGAGUGGCGAACGGGUGAGUAAUACAUCGGAACAUGUCCUGUAGUGGGGGAUAGCCCGGCGAAAGCCGGAUUAAUACCGCAUACGAUCUACGGAUGAAAGCGGGGGACCUUCGGGCCUCGCGCUAUAGGGUUGGCCGAUGGCUGAUUAGCUAGUUGGUGGGGUAAAGGCCUACCAAGGCGACGAUCAGUAGCUGGUCUGAGAGGACGACCAGCCACACUGGGACUGAGACACGGCCCAGACUCCUACGGGAGGCAGCAGUGGGGAAUUUUGGACAAUGGGCGAAAGCCUGAUCCAGCAAUGCCGCGUGUGUGAAGAAGGCCUUCGGGUUGUAAAGCACUUUUGUCCGGAAAGAAAUCCUUGGCUCUAAUACAGUCGGGGGAUGACGGUACCGGAAGAAUAAGCACCGGCUAACUACGUGCCAGCAGCCGCGGUAAUACGUAGGGUGCGAGCGUUAAUCGGAAUUACUGGGCGUAAAGCGUGCGCAGGCGGUUUGCUAAGACCGAUGUGAAAUCCCCGGGCUCAACCUGGGAACUGCAUUGGUGACUGGCAGGCUAGAGU